This is a long non-coding RNA of Pantherophis guttatus, 839 nucleotides long. RefSeq lists it as uncharacterized. The record is from RefSeq and is a predicted model, not a curated record. NCBI's taxonomy places the organism in Eukaryota, Metazoa, Chordata, Lepidosauria, Squamata, Colubridae.
CUCUUUGGAAUGCUUCUCUCCACCUCACCCCACCAAGAAUCCAGCCUACUACCUUCUAUCACAGGAGUUCUCUCCUAUCCAUAUUUCUGGUAAAGUGGAGCCUUUCAAGAACAUUUCUUGGAUGGAAAGCAUGAUCCGCGGUCAUUAAUUUUCUUGUUUUUCCCAUCAGAGACAAAGCUUUUAAAGAUAAAUCUAAGACCAUUUCAGCAUAAAGCUGCCCUGGAUAACUCAUCAAUAAAUGGCCUGCUGAUCAUUUCUUCUACAAGGCUCUAAUAAGGAUGGCUAAAGAAGAAUGGGAAUCCCCCAGUCACAAUUGUAAACAAGCUAGACUAGGAUUUCCUAACCUUGGGGAUUUUAAACUGGCUGGGGAAUUCUGGGAGUUGAAGUGCUUAAAGUUCCCGAGCUUAAGAAACAGUAGUCAUAAAGAACAUGAAGCAUGAUCAUGGCCAAAGAAAGGGAAGUGGAUGAAAUAUGGAAAGAAAUAACUUCACAUCCAGUUGAUUUGUGUACAUGAAACAUAAUAUCGAAGCAAAAAAAACUCGCCUCCAAAAGCUACGUACCUUUAAGAGCUUUUACACUACAGAUCUAAUGGCAAAACAAGGUCAAUACCUAAAUAUAAACAAUAUAUUUUGUGGAGCUUCUGGAAUACAGAGAUGCUACACCAGUAAAUUGUCUUUUGGGAAUGGGGAAGCAGCAAGCAGGGAUUCCAAAAUGCUCUUAUUGUGAUUUAAUUAAUUCAGAAUUCCAGAUAAUCUUUUGUAUAUAAAACAAUUUCAUGCUCUAGCUUGAAACAUCAUUGGGAUUUUAAGAAAAUAAAUUAUAUUGAUACAACAACAAAA